Non-coding RNA from Hypoxylon fragiforme, 89 nucleotides. The record is from the annotation of a RefSeq genome assembly. Lineage: Eukaryota; Fungi; Ascomycota; Sordariomycetes; Xylariales; Hypoxylaceae.
GGUCGACUGGUGUAGUGGUUAUCAUGUUUGCUUUACAAUACUAUGUUGUACUACGCAAAAGGUCGCAGGUUCGAUCCCUGCGUCGACCA